Molecule: unclassified non-coding RNA, 378 nt
Filed under: uncultured bacterium
Lineage: Bacteria
Description: contains 16S-23S intergenic spacer region
Source: RNAcentral
UCCGGCUUAACGCCGGCAGUCCCCCCAGAGUCCCCGGCCGAACCGCUGGCAACUGGGAGCGAGGGUUGCGCUCGUUGCGGGACUUAACCCAACAUCUCACAGCACGAGCUGACGACAGCCAUGCAGCACCUGUGUUCCGAUUCCCGAAGGCACCCUCGCAUCUCUGCAAGGUUCCGGACAUGUCAAGGCCGGGUAAGGUUCUGCGCGUUGCAUCGAAUUAAACCACAUACUCCACCGCUUGUGCGGGCCCCCGUCAAUUCCUUUGAGUUUUAGCCUUGCGGCCGUACUCCCCAGGCGGGAUGCUUAAAGCGUUAGCUGCGGCACGGAGGGGGUCGACACCCCCCACACCUAGCAUCCACCGUUUAGGGCGUGGACUAC